This 57-nucleotide small nuclear RNA is filed under the name Octodon degus (degu). The record is from RNAcentral. Lineage: Eukaryota; Metazoa; Chordata; Mammalia; Rodentia; Octodontidae.
GUGCUCUCUUUGGCAGCACAUAUACUAAAACUGGAACAAUACAGAGAAGAUUAGCAU